CUGGGCACCAUCUGAAAAAGAACUGAACAUAAUGCUCAAAUCUCAGAAUGACUUGUUCUUUCUUACACAGUAACAUUUUAAACAAAUAAUUCCAACUACCAAGAAGGUCUUUUUAAUUUUUUUUUCCAUUCAGGUGUUAUACUCAUUUGUAAAGCUACCAUCCUGCCCUAUACUCUUCCUCCUUUAUUUUUACCUCCACGAUUUUCUCUAGAACGGGUUUUAUGGAUUGACACCCAACUGGUGUAACAUUUCUCAGCUGUACUGUUUGCUCCAAGGACUUUAAGCUGCUUUUUAGGUUUUCAGAACAAGAUUGUGCCAGCUUCAGGAAAUGGUUUUUGAAUUUCUCCAUAUUUGUUACAGACAACUUAAAUGCUAUGCAGCUGGUUUGAGCCUUAUCUUCUUGGUGAUUUUUGGAAGGUAAAUCAUUUGGGCUCAUGAGGAACAGAGGAGCCAAACCACUAUUGAGAAGAUUGCUGUUCACCAUUUUGACAACCACACAAGCCACAGAUGAUACUCUCAGAUUCUAAAGCCUGCCUCCAUUCUCUGGCUGUGGCCCCUUCCUCCAUCUUCAAAUCUAGCAAUUCUGCGAAAAUCUUUCUUAUGAUGCAUUUCUCUGGUUCCAACUCCUCUGCCUCCCCUUUCACCAUUUAAGGACCCUCUGAUUAAACUGGACUCACCCAGAAAAUCCAGGGUAAUCUUUUCAUUUUAACAUCAGCUGAUUGGCAACCUUGCUUCCAUCUGCUACCUGAAUUCCCUUAGCCAUGUAAGGUAAUAUAUUCACAAGUUCUGGAGAAGAAGACAUGUACUUCUUUGGAGUGACAGAGGGACUAGCUACUACACACUGGAAGAAUCAAAUAUUCAAUAUGAGGAUAUUGACACAAGGAAGAACACAUACAAGAAUUUUAUGUAAAAGGGGUCUAAGAAUGACCAGGAGUUAAUGCGGUAAAGAGAGCAUGAAAGAACAUUUCAAUCCCCAGGAACAGUGCGAGCAAAGGAAUGAAGUGAAGAGAGGAAAUCAAGUCUGGGUUAUCGGACUUACUGCUGAGUGAUUUUACAGCUUGGAAGUAACACUUCUCUGGUAGCCAGGUUCUCCAGAAGUGUGCUUGUGAGCUCACAGAACUUAGAGACCAAGAAAGUCAAAGAAGAAAGGGACUGAAGAAUGUCAAGGAAAUGACCUAGCACUACAAGCCAUAAAGUAAUGACAGUUUCAAGGGGAAGAAUAGAGAGAAAGAGGAAUCAUGUGGAGAGGAAGAAGGUGGGGAGUUAAGGAGAGAAUUUGGUUAUAGCCAACAGGAAUAGAUCUGACAACUGAAAUUCUUAUGGGUAAAGGCAUUGUGGACAAAUACAAACUCACACACAAUGGGUUCCAAAAUAAUUUAUUUCUGCCCUGCAUUAGAAGAUGGGUGUCUGCUCAACCUAGAUGAGGCUCAACAAUAUCUCAGAGGUAUCUCUACAAGUUAGACAACAAUCAUUCAUUCCAUUUCAGAGAAGGGAAAAAUGAGUCACAGGUAAGUAACUUGCAUGCUCAAAAUAACAUGGCUAGAAAGUGGAUGAGCCAGAGAAUAGCACUAGUGUUUAAACUAUCUACGUGUCUUAAUUAGUUAUUUCUUUUCUUUUAAAGGAUUUUAUAAAAAGAUGUAAAGAGAAUGGUAAUUGUGGCAGCCUUUUUCAACUUCGUGUUGCAAUUGGAUGUCUAUAUUUUCUUAACUGAAGGAGAACAUCAACUUUUAGCAUAAUUUCCUUGCCAGUCUUUACUUGGCCCCUGAGCCUCCCUUUGCACAGCACAUCCAACUUUGCCUGCAUUACCUUUUCUCCAUUUGUACCUCUACUAAGGCGGCAGAUAAAAAAAAAUAAAAAAUAAAACAGGAAUCCUUGCUUAUUUGUACAACCCAGUUGGCAUCUUUUUUCAGUUUCCACUCAAUAAAUAUUUUUCAAACUAAUGGAGUCCAACUCCUUCAACUGCAGAGUCCAACUCCUAAUGAUUGACUUUGUUUUGUGCUGCUUAUGACAGGCUAAGGAUAUUUACCUGUAUGACUACCAGACUACCCAUGUCUCCAAGUCAGGCAGGAUGACCCAUUCUAGAGUAUGUUUAUGAUGGAGACCUGGCUCUACGAAAUGCAUUCAGAAGCAUGAAGUCUUCCAGGAUGUUUAGUAUUU
This 2157-nucleotide long non-coding RNA is filed under the name Homo sapiens (human). RNAcentral's name for it is "HSALNT0383612". Lineage: Eukaryota; Metazoa; Chordata; Mammalia; Primates; Hominidae. The record is from RNAcentral.